GGUGCCUUAGACCAUCUGAAAACAGAUGUUUGCAUUAUGAUUUAUGACAGCAAAAUUACAGUUAUGAGGUAGCAAUGAAAAUAAUUUUGUAAUUGGGGGUCACUACAACAUAAGGAACUGUAUUAAAGGGGUUCAGCAUGCUCUUCCCCCUUCUGCUGCCUCAAGAAGAACCAAGAAGAAAGAAACACCUCUGCCAGGGCUGGCUCCAGGCAGAGGACUUAUCCACUGUGAUGGUUUGAAUAAGAAUGGGCCUCAUAGGCUCAUGGGUUUGAAUGCUUGUCCCAUAGGGAGUGGUGCUAUUAGGAGGUGUGGUGUUAUUGGAGCAUGUGUGGCCAUGUUGGACGGAAGUGCGUCACUAUGAAAGUGGGCUUUGAGGUCUUAAUUUAUGUUCAGGCUUCACCCAGUGUGGACACUGUCUCCUGCUGCUGCUUACAGAUCAAGAUCUAGAACUCUCAGCAACUUCUCUAGCCCCAUGUCUGCCUGGAUGCUGCCAUGCUUCCCACCAUGAUAAUAAUGAACUAAACCUCUGAAACUGCAAGCUUCCUCUGAUUUGGGACAAAACGAAAACAGGCUGGUCUUCCCUUGUACCUGACAUAGGCAAAUUGAGCUGGCCCAGACAGCAGAGUUCUGUAAAGCAUGUUGAUAUUGAUUGCUUCUUUGUCUCAGGGGCUAUAAGAAAUAUAACAGAUCUCAAAGGAAAAACAGUGGCUCUGUCAGCAACCAUGGCACAGGAAGGUCACCUUUUCAUCCUGGCGCUAACAUCCAGCUGGAGUGGCAGUAUUACCAAAAUAAAAUCCUGAAAGGAGAAGCAGCUGUGACACACCUGUGGAGAUGAUGAGGCGGCAGAAGCAGGGCAGUAAUCCUCUCACAGAGCAUGGAAAUCCUCUAACCCUGGGUCACAGGGACUGCCUCUGAACCAGGAAACACUGGGACCCAGGGUCCUCCCUCAGGAGACUGUGUGUGCCUUCCUCGGACCCUCA
This is a long non-coding RNA of Apodemus sylvaticus (European woodmouse), 980 nucleotides long. RefSeq lists it as uncharacterized. The transcript has 5 exons. Lineage: Eukaryota; Metazoa; Chordata; Mammalia; Rodentia; Muridae. The record is from RefSeq and is a predicted model, not a curated record.